UGACGGCCCCCGGAAGCGCCGCUGGCCAGCUCGGGUCUGUUUGUGUUUGGGGCGGAGGCGGGUUUCGGAACUAUGGCCAAGUCCGGGAAGGAACUGGAUACCCAGAGCGUGGUUGCAUUCACGGUGUUAAAGCGGGCGGUGGAACUAGACUCGGAGUCCCGGUACCAGCAGGCUUUUGUGUGUUACCAGGAGGGGAUAGACCUGCUCAUGCAGGUUCUGAGAGGUACCAAAGAUGAUACAAAGAAAUGUAAUCUCAGAAAACAAAUAACUGGCUACAUGGAUAGAGCAGAAAUACUGAAGAAAUACUUGGAUCAAGAAAAAGAAGAUGGAAAAUAUCAUGAGCAGAUUAAAAUAGAAGAGAAUGCAACAGGUUUCAGUUAUGAGUCACUUUUUCAAAAAUACCUUAAUGAAACAGUUACAGAAGUUUGGAUACAAGAUCCUUAUAUUAGACAGAUCCAUCAGCUAUAUAACUUUCUUCGAUUUUGUGAAAUGCUUAUUAAGAAACCAUGUAAAGUAAAAACUAUUCAUCUUCUCACCUCUCUGGAUGAAGGUAGUGGGAAACAGCAGCAAAGUAGUGGUCUGCAAGAAAUAAAAGAGUCACUCCAGAAUCAUGGGGUGCUGUUGGAAUUAGAAUAUUCUUCUUCAAUACAUGACCGAGAAAUUAGGUUUAACAAUGGAUGGAUGAUUAAGAUUGGAAGAGGACUUGAUUAUUUUAAGAAACCACAGGUUCAGGUGCUGAUAAUGCUGAACCUGAAAAGACUCAAGCCAGUUUGCCAAGUUUUAUUAUAUGGAAAUUCAGGGUCUCAGGAGAGCAAGUGUUGGACCUAAUCAGAAGUUACUUUCUGCAAAGUAUCGUAGCUAUUUUGCCAGGUACCUAUCAGCAUGUGGAAGUAGAGUGGCUUUUCAUUCAGAGCCUCAGUCAUGUGCCCUCACCCUGGAUUCAAGAGACGUGAGAAAGAGAAGAUAGUGAAAAUUCCAGUUUCCAGAGGGGAGUGUUGUUGGUGUGCAACCUCUGGAGUUCCCCAGGUGAAAUUCAAAACUGGCCUCCGUACACUCAGGGCAAGAAGAGACUGAAGACAGGCAGACCACUCCAGAUUGGUAGGUGGGGUUUAAUAAGCAAGGGAACUUACAUAUGAGGCUUGUCUUGGGUGGCUAUGAGACAAGUAAUCUCUACAUAUGCCUGCAGAAUCUCAAGAGUUCAUGGAGGCCUUGAUGGGAUUCAAGUCACAUCUACAAUCCAGAUAGUCUCAGUAAUAUAUGAGUCUCUCAAGGCUGAGUCCUUGAAGUGGCUCCUUGUAUGGGAGCAGUGGGCAGAACACACAUCCCAAGGCCAGGGGAAGGUGUGAAGAGCCUCCGAUUGCCCAUCUCCAGUUCGAGGGUCAACUGCAGUCACAUCUUCUUGAUGACCUCUCCAACAGGAGGUUCUGCCGCACAGCAAGGUUUUUUAAGUUGGAGAAUUCCCCAAACAGUGAGGGGACUUAGGUGCUAAACACUUUAUGCUUUAAGAUGAAUUAUGAAAGUUCACAAUUAUCCCUUUUCAUGACUUCAAAUACUAUAUAUAUGCUGUCAACUCCUGAAUAUAUAAAUUAAGCCGAAAUUUUUCCUUGGCGCUGUGAUCUUAUAUGUUCAGCUGCCUAUUUGGCAUUUCUCCUGGCAUUUCAGAAGCACACAGUCAUUUCAAAUAUAGGAUGCUGCAACUGAGCUCUGGAAACAACACUCCCCCACUCCCUGUGUUUACUCCCAUCCAUCCAGUUGCUCAAAUAAGAAAUCUAGGAGUCAUUCUUGAUUCUUCAUCUCCUUUAUCCUCAUAUGGAAACAAUCAGAAAAGUCUGUGGACUCUAGCUGCAAAACAUACCUUUUCUAUUCUGGGUAAUGCUAAGUUUCCCUUUUGGAACUUGAAGCUAACCUUUCACCUGAUGAUAUCCUCACUCUUGAGAAACAGAUGGUAUCAGAAAAUCAUGAGUGCUUUAUGCCCCAAAACACAUCAUAUCAGGAUUUUUAUACCUUUCUUGGAAAGUAACUUUAACACGUUGCAGCAAAUGUAAUGAGUAAAAAAUAUGCCCAUAAGAAAUCUCUUCAGAAUUGUUUAUUUGCUGUUUAAUAUUGCUGGAAAAGAACAGAAGGACCUGCCUGUGAAACCCGACUCAAAUGAUUAGACUCAACUCAAAUGGUUAGACUGCCAGUUGUGUUUGUCCCAGGAGCCACUUGAAAAGUAAAAUCCCCUUCACUUACUCCACUCCCACACUGAGAGAACCAUUUGCAAGCACAACCCUGUGUGUCCCCUCCUGCCCCUUCCCUUCUUCAAAAAAAAAGUGUGGGGGGGAGAUGAGAUCUGGAUCCAUUCAGUUACAUGAAAAGAACUCAUAAGAGCUAAAUUCACAUUAAAAUCCUAACCCCCAGUACCUCAGUAUGUAACUAUUUGGAGAUAAGGUCUUCAAAGAGCUAUAAAGUUAAAAAUGAUGUCUUUAGAGUGGACCCUAAGACUGGUAUCCUUACAAGAAGUGGAAAUUUUGACGCAGUUAUGCACACUCAGAGGAAAUGUAACAGCACCCCAAUUGGUCUUAAGGGUUAACGUGCUUCAAGCUUAUGCACUCCUUGCUUGCUGACCUAAAUCCCAAUUUGUAGCAGUACUAACCUACUUCCCUUGAGAUCCUGCAGACUGCUAGAAGCAGACUUCCCGGAAGAUAAGGCUUGACCACACUCAAAAACAGCUACCACUGACCAGGGCAUCUUCAAUAAGAGAUAUCUGGCUGGGAUCCUUGAUUCCUGGCACAGGGGGAAGAGUCUGGACUGCUUUGCCAGGACGUGGCUUGUUGGGCUGCAGGGGCAUCCUUUACUGAGAUACACCUAGGAGCCUUGAUUAUUGGUAGAGCAGAGGAUUCUGGAAGAUUUUUCAAGGACAAAUGAUUAACUGCUGAGCACCAGUUUCUCCUGUACAUAGCCCCCUCACCAUUCCCUGCGCCUUCCCUUUUAAUAAUCUGCUUCCCCUGGACAGGGAAGAUGGCCUUUGAGAAGUCAAUCUGCCUUUUUCCCAGGUUGCCAACUUCCUCAAUAAAGCAACCCUUCUUUUCCCACCAACACUUUUCUCUUGAGUAUUGGCUUUAAAGUGGUGACUUUGGAACUGGUCCUCUGUCCAAUAACAGAAAGACCAUGUGAGGAUACAGCAAGAAGGCAACUACCUGCAGGCCAAGGAGAGAGGCCCCAGGAGACACCAAACCCACCAACUCUUUGAUCUUGGACUUCCCAGCCUCCGGAACUGUGAGAAAAUAUAUUUUUAUUGUUUAAGCCACCUAAAUCUGUGGUAUUUUGUUAUGGCGGCCUUAGCAAGCUAAUAUAACUGCUUUAUUGUUUCCCUUUAAAUGAAAUCAGAAUUAAACCUUGUCUUGAAAAUGGAAGUCAUCCUUAAUUUUUGACAAGGGCUUAACACAAUGUCAGCAUCUUGCCAUGGCCACUGCUAGCAUUACUUCUGCUAGGAUUCCUGCUGUAGUCUCCCAAAUGGCUUUCUGCUUCCUGUCUUCUGUCCCUCCAAUCCAUUCUCCACAGAGCAGACAGAAUAGUCUUUGUAACAACUGCAGUAUCAUUGCACUUAAAAUACGAUCUGUGUCUACCUUGGGCUAUCUGUCCCUACAUGAUCUGGUCUCUUCUCUCCAUCUUCAUCUGGCUCCAUUCUCCCCUUGUUCCCACACUUCAGUUUGCCUAUACUUCCUUUGACACCAUCAGUAACCUAGCUUUUACCUGCUUUAGGGCUUCCUGUAUGCUGUUGUGUGGUAGAUUAUACUUUACAAAAAUGGUUGCAAUAGGAUCUCUCAGACCCAGUAGUAAUUUUUAUAAUGAUUUUGACAUUCCUCCCAUGGAGUGGUGGCUAUCCAUAUUCUCUCCUUUUGGAUUUGGAUGCACGUGUGGCUAUACAAAUUGCUUCCAAGAUAAGGUAUAAAAGGAAAUAUUUUCUGGUGGGCUUUCUUGAGUCACUUCUGGGAAUCCAGCUACCAUGCUGUGAGGAAGUUCAGGCAGCCUUAAUUAGGUGCAAGUGGAAAGGAAUUGAAGGUCUCAACCCAUUGCUCCAGCUGCGCUCCCAGCCAACUGCCAGCACCAACUUGCCAGCCACUUGAGCCAUCUUGAAGCAGGUAUUUCCAGCUCUUUAAGCUGUCCUAGCCGAUGACACCAGAUCAUAUGCUGUAUCCCCAUCAAAUCUCAAAUUAUAGAUUUGUGAAUAAAAUAAAUGUUGUUUUAAGCCACUAA
Ailuropoda melanoleuca (giant panda) is the source of this 4239-nucleotide RNA transcript. It is a transcript of the gene named microtubule interacting and trafficking domain containing 1, with no coding region annotated. NCBI's taxonomy places the organism in Eukaryota, Metazoa, Chordata, Mammalia, Carnivora, Ursidae. The record is from RefSeq and is a predicted model, not a curated record. The transcript is spliced from 8 exons.